CCUACGGGAGGCAGCAGUGGGGAAUAUUGCGCAAUGGGGGAAACCCUGACGCAGCCAUGCCGCGUGAGUGACGAAGGCCUUAGGGUUGUAAAGCUCUUUCGCUAGGGAAGAUAAUGACGGUACCUAGUAAAGAAGCCCCGGCUAACUCCGUGCCAGCAGCCGCGGUAAUACGGAGGGGGCUAGCGUUGUUCGGAAUCACUGGGCGUAAAGCGCGCGUAGGCGGACCAAUCAGUUGGGGGUGAAAGCCCGGAGCUCAACUCCGGAACUGCCUCCAAUACUGUUGGUCUUGAGGUCGAGAGAGGUAAGUGGAAUUCCUAGUGUAGAGGUGAAAUUCGUAGAUAUUAGGAAGAACACCAGUGGCGAAGGCGACUUACUGGCUCGAUUCUGACGCUGAGGUGCGAAAGCGUGGGGAGCAAACAGGAUUAGAUACCCUUGUAGUC
This 440-nucleotide ribosomal RNA is filed under the name uncultured bacterium. RNAcentral's name for it is "bacterial SSU rRNA". It matches the Rfam family "Bacterial small subunit ribosomal RNA", at positions 338 to 795 of the family's 1533-position model. The record is from RNAcentral.